RNAcentral lists this ribosomal RNA (496 nucleotides) under uncultured bacterium. Its description in RNAcentral is "partial 16S ribosomal RNA". It matches the Rfam family "Bacterial small subunit ribosomal RNA", at positions 29 to 507 of the family's 1533-position model. The record is from RNAcentral.
AUGAACGCUGGCGGCGUGCCUAAUACAUGCAAGUCGAGCGAACAGACGAGGAGCUUGCUCCUCUGACGUUAGCGGCGGACGGGUGAGUAACCCGUGGAUAACCUACCUAUAAGACUGGGAUAACUUCGGGAAACCGGAGCUAAUACCGGAUAAUAUAUUGAACCGCAUGGUUCAAUAGUGAAAGACGGUUUUGCUUUCACUUAUAGAUGGAUCCGCGCCGCAUUAGCUAGUUGGUAAGGUAACGGCUUACCAAGGCAACGAUGCGUAGCCGACCUGAGAGGGUGAUCGGCCACACUGGAACUGAGACACGGUCCAGACUCCUACGGGAGGCAGCAGUAGGGAAUCUUCCGCAAUGGGCGAAAGCUUGACGGAGCAACGCCGCGUGAGUGAUGAAGGUCUUCGGAUCGUAAAACUCUGUUAUUAGGGAAGAACAAAUGUGUAAGUAACUAUGCACGUCUUGACGGUACCUAAUCAGAAAGCCACGGCUAACUACGUG